CAGGAGCACACACCAUGAUUACACACAUCCAGCUGAUCUGGCCCCUGGCAUUCUGUGUCGCAGGUAUCAGUGGGGACAUCACCAUGACCCAGUCUCCCCCGGUGCUGUCAGUGGGACUGGGCCAGACCGCAACCAUCACCUGUACGGCCAGUCAAAGCAUUAGCAGCUCCCUUGCUUGGUACCAGCAGCGAGAAGGUCAGAAACCCUCUCUCCUGAUCUAUGCUGCAACAACUCGAUUCACAGGAGUCUCCGAGCGAUUCACCGGCAGUGGAUCAGGGACCAGUUUCACCCUGACAAUCAGCAACGUUCAGAAUGAGGAUGUGGCUGACUAUUACUGUCAGCAAGGUUACAGCUGGCCGCUUACGUUCGGUAAAGGAACCAAGCUCAGACUGAGCCGUGACAACUCUCAGCCCAAGCUGACCCUGCUGCCCCCCUCCCCGGAGCAGGUCAGUGCCAAGGGCACUGCCACCCUGGUGUGCCUUGCCAAUCACUUCUAUCCCGAUGAGCUGGAGGUGCAGUGGAAGAAGGACGGUGCAGUCAUUUCGGACGGGGGACUGUUCAGAGAACCUUCUGAGGUUUGGAUGUAA
Hemiscyllium ocellatum (epaulette shark) is the source of this 587-nucleotide non-coding RNA. The record is from the annotation of a RefSeq genome assembly. NCBI's taxonomy places the organism in Eukaryota, Metazoa, Chordata, Chondrichthyes, Orectolobiformes, Hemiscylliidae.